CUUUGCAUUCUUUACUAUCACUUGUGUCAUAUACACUACUAUAUUCUUGGACUCAUGCCACACUUGUUUUCUAAGUGUUCAACAUGCCAUAAGUGUUUCCACUAUACUAAUCAUAUGCCACUCGAUCUAAUAUAUAUAGAUUGUCCACGUCACAUAUCAUAGUUCAUACGUCAUUGUUUUCCAACGUCGAGUUUUCUAACCAUCCAAGAGUUAUAGACCCAAGUUCAACAUGCAUAUGUUAUUUAACAUAGUCCACAAUACACCAACGUGCAUAUAUAUAUCAACUCAUAUCUCAAGGUAUAUCAACAUGCAUACAUUUCCAUCUACUAUGUUCCACAAUAUGAUAAUAUGUCAUCAAGUAUGUUUUUCUAUUUAAUAUAAUCCACAAUAUGUUAAUUCAUAAUAUGUCAUCAUGCACAUAUACCACUAGCAUCACAUGAUAUGUCAAUAUAGAUAUAGUCAUUAUCCAAAAUAGUUCAUACUUAGAAUCUCAUGCAUUCUUUUAGCAUUUAAUUUACUAUGCAUCUCAUCUCAUUGGUAGGUAAUCUCAACUACAUAGUAUGUUUCAAGCAUUCAUAUCAUUAUGUAAGCCUACCAACACAACUAUAUGCAUCAAUUAGAAAACCAUUACUCUUAGACAUAUAGGCGACCUAGUCGCUUCGGUGAGCACAACCCACCAGCAUGCCAUGACAUGUAACAAUUGCCAACUAGUACCCUAUAAUGCAAUAUCCCAAUAUGCAACUUGAUCAAUGUUAACUAGAGUUUGUAGUACAACAACCAAUCCAUUACUAAGUUCAAGUCAUAUGUGUUUUUAGCACAAUAAGUUCAAUGCCACUUGUAAACUAUGUCUUUAAACACAACACUAGGUUCUUCUCUCAUUUAGCAUCAUAGGUUUACCAAUGUCCUCUCAUAAUCCUUAUGUCUAUUACAUCAUAUAUCCAUAUCAUAAUACCAUAUUGAUCAUAAACAUCAUAUAAGGAUUAGGAAUGCAUGUAUUGUCAUCCUAUAAUGCAAGGUAUCGAUAUACAAUAUGCUACAUGUGAAUGGAUAAGUACUAAGACAUAGGAAGAAGCCCGAUUGCUUCGGGAUGUCACUCCCCCACUUUAAGUCCUUGCUCGAGGUUGUGGUAGCUCCCCCUCGGGUGAUGUGCUCCGGAGUCGACAUCACUGGGUUGUAGCGGGUAUCUCCCCAGAGGACGGUCCCACCGGGUUGUAGCGGGUAUCUCCCCGGUUAAUGGGAUUUUGGGU
This 1247-nucleotide long non-coding RNA is filed under the name Ananas comosus (pineapple). Its description in RNAcentral is "long non-coding RNA (ACOM_LNC017491)". The record is from RNAcentral. Lineage: Eukaryota; Viridiplantae; Streptophyta; Magnoliopsida; Poales; Bromeliaceae.